Molecule: small RNA, 107 nt
Filed under: Marmota monax (woodchuck)
Lineage: Eukaryota; Metazoa; Chordata; Mammalia; Rodentia; Sciuridae
Source: RNAcentral
GUUGGGUGUAGUGGUGUCCACCUGUAAUCCAAACUACCUGGGAGGCUGAGGCACAAGGAUCACAAGUUCCAGGCCAGUGUUAGCAACUUAGUGAGACCCUAUCUCAC